Long non-coding RNA from Micropterus dolomieu (smallmouth bass), 873 nucleotides. RefSeq lists it as uncharacterized. The transcript has 3 exons. Lineage: Eukaryota; Metazoa; Chordata; Actinopteri; Centrarchiformes; Centrarchidae. The record is from RefSeq and is a predicted model, not a curated record.
AUUCAGCACACAAUAAAAUGCUUUAUUUAAGACAAGACAAUCAUCUUACUGUAUGUGUCUUUCUCUCUAGGUUCUGAGGAAGUGAAAAAGCGACAGCUUCAAAAUAAGGAUCCUGACACAUACCAUUUGUACUGCACCAUCUCCGAGGAGCCAGCUGCCUCAGCCCUGAAUGCACCUUGGCCUCAUCCUGUCCGAGCUGUUACUGUACUUCCAGCCUGCAAACACUGGUUUCCGGGCUACUUCUGCUGGCCCACUGGACUCUACUCUAUCUAAAUUUCACUGAGGUGAAGUUAGGUUUAGGUUGGAUAUUCGACAGACAUUCACUCAGGAUCCAGUGGCUCUUCUUACUCAGAAGUGUUGGCAGUAUAAGGGCAUUUAGCUCACCUCCGAGGGCACAAGGGAUGGCUUAGGGCGCAUCAAUAAAUUACUAGUGUUAUAAUGGUGUUAUGGAAAAUUUUAUUUCAAUAGCUUUCAUGUCAUGUGAUUCAGAGACUCCAAACCAAUGGCGAAUUGAAAAAAUGAGACACACCCCUUCAUAUUAGAUUUGAAUGCAUAUUUUAUAUUUAAAUUUUUAGGGAAAGUUUUUUUCUUUUUUUUAAAUAUAAAAACAGUGCAGUGUCAUUUCCCCCAUGUAGUACUACAAUUUGCCAUUGGUUUUUGAGCCUAGGUCACAUAACAUGGAAUUUAUUGGAAAAAGAAAAUUAUUUUUUUUAAUAAAAUAUUAAUAGAAUAUAGAAAAGAGAAAAAGCACUCAAAUAUUAAGGGGUGUGUCUCAUUUGCCCAAUGUAGUACUACAACUGGGCAUUGGGCUGGAGUUCCUGGGUCACAUGACAUGGAAACUAUUGAAAAAGUAACACAUCUUUUUACAUUGGA